AUUGAACGCUGGCGGCAGGCCUAACACAUGCAAGUCGAGCGGAUGAAGGGAGCUUGCUCCUGGAUUCAGCGGCGGACGGUUGAGUAAUGCCUAGGAAUCUGCCUGGUCGUGGGGGAUAACGUCCGGAAACGGGCGCUAAUACCGCAUACGUCCUGAGGUAGAAAGUGGGUGAUCUUCGGACCUCACGCUAUCAUAUGAGCCUAGGUCGGAUUAGCUAGUUGGUGGGGUAAAGGCCUACCAAGGCGGCGAUCCGUAACUGGUCUGAGAGGAUGGUCAGUCACACUGGAACUGAGAAACGGUACAGACUCCGACGGGAGGCAGCAGUGGGGAAUAUUGGACAAUGGGCGAAAGCCUGAUCCAGCCAUGCCGCGUGUGUGAAGAAGGUCUUAGGAUUGUAAAGCACUUUAAGUUGGGAGGAAGGGAAGUAAGUUAAUACCUUGCUGUUUUGACGUUACCAACAGAAUAAGCACCGGCUAACUUCGUG
RNAcentral lists this ribosomal RNA (484 nucleotides) under uncultured bacterium. Its description in RNAcentral is "partial 16S ribosomal RNA". It matches the Rfam family "Bacterial small subunit ribosomal RNA", at positions 30 to 507 of the family's 1533-position model. The record is from RNAcentral.